Molecule: ribosomal RNA, 253 nt
Filed under: uncultured bacterium
Lineage: Bacteria
Description: partial 16S ribosomal RNA
Rfam family: Bacterial small subunit ribosomal RNA
Source: RNAcentral
UACGGAGGGUGUGAACGUUGCUCGGAAUCAUUGGGCGUAAAGCGCACGUAGGCUGCGAGGAAAGUUGGGUGUGAAAGCCCUGGGCUCAACCCAGGAAGUGCAUUCAAAACUACCUCGCUUGAAUCUCGGAGGGGGUCAGAGAAUUCCCGGUGUAGAGGUGAAAUUCGUAGAUAUCGGGAGGAAUACCAGUGGCGAAGGCGCUGACCUGGACGAAGAUUGACGCUGAGGUGCGAAAGCGUGGGGAGCAAACAGG